RNAcentral lists this ribosomal RNA (1057 nucleotides) under Trimusculus reticulatus. RNAcentral's name for it is "16S ribosomal RNA". It matches the Rfam family "Archaeal large subunit ribosomal RNA", at positions 668 to 2787 of the family's 2987-position model. Lineage: Eukaryota; Metazoa; Mollusca; Gastropoda; Ellobiida; Trimusculidae. The record is from RNAcentral.
AGGGUUUAAUAUUUCAAAGAGAUAAGAAAUUCUUUUGUCCAGACGUGUGAAUACUUCCAUAUUUUUUUAAUAAUACCUUUUGUAUAAUGGUCAAGCUAAUAUUUUUAUAGUUAUGAGUUCCCGAAUUAAGAAGAUCUAACUUUAUUCUUUUUUGGGAAGACAUGGUUCUUGUAGCAUUAAGAACUUAAAAAAGAAAGUUAGGGGCGAAAAACCUACAAUUCUUAAGAUAGCUGGAUCCCCGGGAAAUGUAUUUAGUACAAGAAGACAGGCAAUAAGUGUCGAGAUUUAUUGCGGUGAGAAUUACAUCUUAAAUUUUAACCUAAUUGGGUUAACACCCUAUUUGGUGUCUAAAUUAAAAACUUGACUGGUAAAAGAAUCUCUUCUUUACCGGGGAAGAACAUAAAAUUUUUUUUGUUCUUGAUAAUGCUUGAAUGAGUAAUAGUGUGAGAUGAGCUUAAGGAACUCGGCAAAGAUUUCCCUCGUCUGUUUACCAAAAACAUAGCCUUAAGGAGGUUCGAUUUAAGGUAAGCCCUGCCCGGUGAAAAAGUUUUUAACGGCCGCAGUACCCUGACUGUGCUAAGGUAGCGUAAUCAGUUGGCUUUUAAAUGGAGUCGAGAAUGAAUGGGUCUUCGGGGGAAAACUGUCUCAAGUUCACUUUUUUGAAUUUCCUUAGAGGGUGAAAAUUCCCUCGAUCAAGAUAAAAGACGAGAAGACCCUUAGAGUCUUUACUAAGUAGUGUAUUUCACUUAGAAGUUUUUGUUGGGGCGACAAAGAGGCAUAAAUAAUUUACUUAACCCUCUAUUUAUAUUUCUUACCGGACGAGAAUGCUAAGAAAGAUAAGACUACCUUAGGGAUAACAGCAUUAUUUUUUUAUAAGCUUGUGACCUCGAUGUUGGACUAGGGACCUAGUGGCUAGCCGCCAGUAAGGCAAGUUCUGUUCGAACUUCUUUUCCCUACAUGAUCUGAGUUCAGACCGGCGUAAGCCAGGUCAGAUUCUAUCUUUUAUUCGAAGCUUUUUUAGUACGAAAGGACCAGAAAGCUGCAAAUUAUUGUUUAC